This is a non-coding RNA of Caenorhabditis elegans, 196 nucleotides long. The record is from Ensembl. NCBI's taxonomy places the organism in Eukaryota, Metazoa, Nematoda, Chromadorea, Rhabditida, Rhabditidae.
AUUAAUAGCAUAGCCAAAAAAUCCUUGUUGUUGAUCUUUAAAAUAAUAACCUCCUUCUUUCAUGUUGAUGUGAAAUUUGAAAUGGUAUGAAGUGUGAAGAAGUGCCGCGAGACACUUACAGAGUUCAAGCGGAUUUAUCAUCCACCUCCGGAUUGGCUGGAGGACUGUCCGGUGGAGAAAGUGACUAAGAGGUCUU